Long non-coding RNA from Bubalus bubalis (water buffalo), 1187 nucleotides. RefSeq lists it as uncharacterized. The transcript is spliced from 3 exons. The record is from RefSeq and is a predicted model, not a curated record. NCBI's taxonomy places the organism in Eukaryota, Metazoa, Chordata, Mammalia, Artiodactyla, Bovidae.
CCCAGGCAGAGGCAGGGCUGCAUGCACAGUGAGUGGAAGGACGAGUUUAUGAGGCAGACAGAACUGAGCUCAGGUCUCAGCACCACCAUGUACAAACUUCUCUGCUUGAGCAAGUCCAUCUCUCUGAGAUUCAGCAUUUUUAGCCUCGAAUGACAGGGGGCAGAGAAGGGUAACUGUCCUCUGAUUUGUGCACCUCCUUCUGCAACAGAGCUGGAGAGGCUGCCCAGGCCUGGAAUGGCAUUUUUCAGUGCUCCCUGCUCUUAGGUGAUGGGUUCUCACCAACAGAAUGUGAGUGGAAGGGAUGUGUGUCACUUCCAGGCCCAGUGUGGUUAAGAAGCAGCUGUAUCUUCUCCAUCAUCUCUCUCAACUUUCUCCUAGAUGCAGAGUUCUAAGCCUGGGUCCCUGAAUCACCAUGUGGAGAGAAGCUGCCUGCCAACUAGAAUCACCAGCAUUGGAGUAUGCCCCUUCCACCAGUUGUGGGACUCCUGAGGCAGAAUCGCACCUGGUUCACUUCGGGCCUCAAGCACAGACCUGGAGUUGACACCCGAGCCCCGCUCCUGCAAGUGCUUUGGAACAUGAGUUCUCCGAAGGGAGCCAGGGGCUUCUGGGAGUGAAGCGGAUGUUCUCCUCCCGGGGGGACCAAAGGAAGCUGUAGGAUAACCAUGGUUUGAGCUACGACUGUGGGACUUGACAUUUAUUCCCUGUCUUCCAAUACCUUGUCGUGGGGGAAGAAGGACAUCUAUAGGAAUGAGACCCGUGCCACUGGGGCUUUGUGAGGGGGACUCCUGACAUCUUAGAGAUGCCCUGAAAGCCCGGAUACAGAGAAAUCUCCUGGGACACAACAAGUGCUCAGUGACUGAUGACGACUCCUGUGCUUCUGCUCUUCAGAUGGUUGAAUGAGUUUGGGACAUGUUGCAUUGUGGAGCAUUCUUCGAGAUUCAUGAUGCAGAGCGAGAUAAUACAGAUGCUGGUCACAUGGACAUAUUUUGCUUCUGGAAGUUGGGCUCUGAGCUUUCCUUGUCUCUGAACUCUCUCCAGUGCCAAUAGCUCAGGGUUUGUCACAUGAUAGACGCAUGCAUGUGUGUGCGUGCUAAGUUGCUUGCUUUAGUCGUGUUCAACUGUUUGCGAACCCAUGGACUGUAGCUGGCCAGCCUCCUCUGUCCAUGGGAUUCUCCAGGCAAGAAUAC